This 564-nucleotide ribosomal RNA is filed under the name Thielaviopsis paradoxa. Its description in RNAcentral is "LSU rRNA". It matches the Rfam family "Eukaryotic large subunit ribosomal RNA", at positions 62 to 648 of the family's 3401-position model. The record is from RNAcentral. Lineage: Eukaryota; Fungi; Ascomycota; Sordariomycetes; Microascales; Ceratocystidaceae.
AAACCAACAGGGAUUGCCCUAGUAACGGCGAGUGAAGCGGCAACAGCUCAAAUUUGAAAUCUGGCUACUUUGUAGUCCGAGUUGUAAUUUGUAGAGGAUGCUUUUGGUGAGGUGCCUUCCGAGUUCCCUGGAACGGGACGCCAUAGAGGGUGAGAGCCCCGUACGGUUGGAUGCCAAACCUUUGUAUAGCUCCUUCAACGAGUCGAGUAGUUUGGGAAUGCUGCUCUAAAUGGGAGGUAUAUCUCUUCUAAAGCUAAAUAUAGGCUAGAGACCGAUAGCGCACAAGUAGAGUGAUCGAAAGAUGAAAAGCACUUUGAAAAGAGAGUUAAACAGCACGUGAAAUUGUUGAAAGGGAAGCGCCUAUGACCAGACUUGUCUCUAUCAGUUUUGCUAGUUUUCGGACUGGUUUACUCUGUUAGUACAGGCCAGCAUCAGUUUGUUGUUGGGGAGAAAGGCUUAGGGAAUGUGGCUCCUUCGGGAGUGUUAUAGCCCUUUGCAUAAUACCUUUCGACAGACUGAGGACCGCGCUUCGGCAAGGAUGCUGGCGUAAUGGUCAUCAGCGAC